RNAcentral lists this ribosomal RNA (370 nucleotides) under uncultured bacterium. Its description in RNAcentral is "bacterial SSU rRNA". It matches the Rfam family "Bacterial small subunit ribosomal RNA", at positions 28 to 399 of the family's 1533-position model. The record is from RNAcentral.
GACGAACGCUGGCGGCGUGCUUAACACAUGCAAGUCGAGCGGUAAGGCCCUUUCGGGGGUACACGAGCGGCGAACGGGUGAGUAACACGUGGGUGACCUGCCUUUAGCUCUGGGAUAAGCCUGGGAAACUGGGUCUAAUACCGGAUAUGACUCCGCGGUGCAUGCUGUGGGGUGGAAAGCCUUGUGCGGCUGGAGAUGGGCCCGCGGCCUAUCAGCUUGUUGGUGGGGUGAUGGCCUACCAAGGCGACGACGGGUAGCCGGCCUGAGAGGGCGACCGGCCACACUGGGACUGAGACGCGGCCCAGACUCCUACGGGAGGCAGCAGUGGGGAAUCUUGCGCAAUGGGCGAAAGCCUGACGCAGCGACGCCG